GCCUCGGUAGCUCAGGUGGUAGAGCAGCGGACUGAAAAUCCGCGUGUCGGUGGUUCGAAUCCGCCCCGAGGCACCA
This 76-nucleotide transfer RNA is filed under the name Syntrophomonadaceae bacterium. RNAcentral's name for it is "tRNA-Phe". It matches the Rfam family "tRNA". Rfam says of the family: Transfer RNA (tRNA) molecules are approximately 80 nucleotides in length. The record is from RNAcentral. Lineage: Bacteria; Bacillati; Bacillota; Clostridia; Eubacteriales; Syntrophomonadaceae.